UAGAGUUUGAUCCUGGCUCAGGACGAACGCUGGCGGCGUGCCUAAUACAUGCAAGUCGAACGCGUCUUGGUUAAUGAUGUUAGGUGCUUGCAUUUAACUGAUUUAACAUUGAGACGAGUGGCGAACUGGUGAGUAACACGUGGGUAACCUGCCCUGAAGUGGGGGAUAACACUUGGAAACAGGUGCUAAUACCGCAUAACAACGAAAACCACAUGGUUUUCGUUUGAAAGAUGGCUUCGGCUGUCACUUUUGGAUGGACCCGCGGCGUAUUAGCUUGUUGGCGAGGUAACGGCUCACCAAGGCCAUGAUACG
This 312-nucleotide ribosomal RNA is filed under the name uncultured bacterium. Its description in RNAcentral is "bacterial SSU rRNA". It matches the Rfam family "Bacterial small subunit ribosomal RNA", at positions 1 to 283 of the family's 1533-position model. The record is from RNAcentral.